RNAcentral lists this ribosomal RNA (795 nucleotides) under uncultured marine bacterium. Its description in RNAcentral is "bacterial SSU rRNA". It matches the Rfam family "Bacterial small subunit ribosomal RNA", at positions 60 to 860 of the family's 1533-position model. The record is from RNAcentral.
AGUUGAGCGAAGCUUUUCAGUAGUUUACUACAGAAAAUGACUGAGCGGCGAACGGGUGAGUAACGCGUGAGCAAUCUACCUUAGUUACUGGGAUAGCCCGAGGAAACUCGGAUUAAUACCGGAUAUUCUUAUUUUUUCACAUGAAGUUUUAAGGAAAGGUCAGCCGAACUAAGAUGAGCUCGCGUUCUAUCAGCUAGUUGGUGGGGUAAAAGCCUACCAAGGCUACGACGGAUAGCUGGUCUGAGAGGACGAUCAGCCACACUGGGACUGAGACACGGCCCAGACUCCUACGGGAGGCUGCAGCAGGGAAUAUUGCGCAAUGAGCGAAAGCUUGACGCAGCGACACCGCGUGUGGGAUGACGGUUCUAGGAUUGUAAACCACUUUCAGGAGGGAAGAAAAUGACGGUACCUCCACAAGAAGACCCGGCCAACUACGUGCCAGCAGCCGCGGUAAUACGUAGGGGUCAAGCGUUGUCCGGAUUUAUUGGGCGUAAAGAGCUCGUAGGCGGUUCAACAAGUCGGUCGUAAAAGUUUAGGGCUCAACCCUAAAAUGUCGAUCGAUACUGUUGUGACUAGGAUACGGUAGAGGUGAAUGGAAUUCCGAGUGUAGCGGUGAAAUGCGUAGAUAUUCGGAGGAACACCAAUUGCGAAGGCAGUUCACUGGACCGUGAUCGACGCUGAGGAGCGAAAGCUAGGGGAGCAAACAGGAUUAGAUACCCUGGUAGUCCUAGCUGUAAACGAUGGAUACUAGAUGUAGGAACUGGAUUGACGGUUUCUGUAUCGUAGCUAGCGCGU